CUAAGACAUCUCAUUUAAAUAUAACUAAAAGAAUUUUACGAUAUAUUAAAGGAAUAAUUAAGUAUGGAAUGUUCUAUCCAUUAUCUAAAAAGUUAGAGCUUAUUGGAUAUAGUGACAGUGAUUGGGCCGAAGCUAUGAUAAUCGGAAGAGUACAACUGGAUUUGUAUUUUAUUUUGAUGAAGCUACAUUCACUUGGUCUUCAAAAAAGCAAUGAAUCGUUGCUCUAUCAAGUUGUAAAGCAGAAUAUAUAGCAGCUUUUUCUAGUGUUUGUCAUGCAAUCUGGCUAAGAGGAUUACUCCAAGAACUUCAUAUGCUACAGGAGAAGUCAACUAUUGCCUUAGCCAAGUCAGCUAUUGCCUUAGCCAAGAAUCUAGUCUAUCAUGAAAUAUCGAAGCAUAUCGAUAUAAGAUUUCAUAAGAGAUUAUAUCAAAAAUAAAGAAGUGGAGCUACAUAAUGUCAAGACAAGUGAACAAGUGGCUGAUAUACUUACAAAACAUCUCAAAUUUAAAAUAUUUCAACAACUUCGAAAGAAAUUUGACAUGUUAAAUGAAACAAGUUUAAGAGAGGAGAAUGUUGGAAGUAAACUUGUUCAAGUAUCAUAAAGAGGUUCAUUUCAUCAAAAGAAAGGUUCAUUGUAUCUAGAGGAAGAUUCAUUACAUCAAGAAAAAAAAAUGAAUUAAAAGUCUAUAGAAUGAUAAGUCAAAUAGGUUAUUGGUUCUUGAAAGGGUUUCUUGAAAUAGAAUGAUUUAUCUUGAAUAUAAUUAAUGUAAUAUAUCUUUGGGAACUAUAUAAACCCUAUAUGUUGGGUCAUGAGAGAAAGAGAGUUUCUGAAAUUGUAAAGUGUUUUUUUUUAGAGAAAUAUAGAAGAUUAAAACUUGUCUUACCCUUUUUUUUUUUUCUUUUUUUUUUCUGGUUUGAUAACUCCAUCCUUUUUCCUAUCAACAUCAACACCUGUCAUCAUGGUAGACUCUCUGCAAGAGGCUCAUACAUGCAGACCGAUAAAGAAGGUGAAAUGUACAUACAGCAUCAACCCAAUCCACAUGGAAGGAAAGGAAAGGCUAUGCAUGAUGAGCAAACCAAAGACUUGUUUGGAAUCUGUCGCAGAAUGGUUCUAUCAAUUCUUUGCUCUCAUUUACAGUAACGAUCGAUCUUGAUAUAACUAGAAAAGUCAAUGUUCGAUUACAGCAAGAACAUCCAUAACGUGGUUGAGGUGAGCAAGGCGGACUACGAUGCAUGCACCGCUACGUCUCCGAUGGCCACAUACACCUCCGGCAAUGACUCCAUCGCCAUGAAGACCAAAGGCCACCGCUACUUCAUCUGUGGCAUCCCGGGCCACUGCACCGCCGGCCAGAGGGUGGACAUCCAAGUCUCCAAGCCAUCAUCAUCUGCUGCCCCUUCCACCUCCACCUCCGCCCCUGCUUACCCUCCUUCCCGUGUCGGCAGCAGCAGCGGAGGCAUCUCCACGCCGGCAGCUGCCCCUCGGUCUAGCAGUGGCCCAAGGUGUGUUGCCAAGGUGUUUCGUUAUCGGUCUUGCUGUGUUUUCCUUUGCUGCAGCGUCUGUCUGGUGGCCUUGUUAGGCAGUAGUUGUAGUAGCGGUGGGUGCCAUGUGAGGAACAAUCAAGAAAGAAAUGUUCAUCUUAACGGGGCUGA
Musa acuminata AAA Group (dessert banana) is the source of this 1650-nucleotide long non-coding RNA. RefSeq lists it as uncharacterized. Lineage: Eukaryota; Viridiplantae; Streptophyta; Magnoliopsida; Zingiberales; Musaceae. The record is from RefSeq and is a predicted model, not a curated record. The transcript has 2 exons.